UACGGAGGGGGCUAGCGUUGUUCGGAAUUACUGGGCGUAAAGCGCGCGUAGGCGGCUUUGUAAGUUAGAGGUGAAAGCCCGGAGCUCAACUCCGGAAUUGCCUUUAAGACUGCAUCGCUAGAAUCAUGGAGAGGUGAGUGGAAUUCCGAGUGUAGAGGUGAAAUUCGUAGAUAUUCGGAAGAACACCAGUGGCGAAGGCGGCUCACUGGCUCGGUACUGACGCUGAGGUGCGAAAGCGUGGGGAGCAAACAGG
This 253-nucleotide ribosomal RNA is filed under the name uncultured bacterium. RNAcentral's name for it is "partial 16S ribosomal RNA". It matches the Rfam family "Bacterial small subunit ribosomal RNA", at positions 524 to 776 of the family's 1533-position model. The record is from RNAcentral.